RNAcentral lists this ribosomal RNA (494 nucleotides) under uncultured bacterium. RNAcentral describes it as "partial 16S ribosomal RNA". It matches the Rfam family "Bacterial small subunit ribosomal RNA", at positions 28 to 507 of the family's 1533-position model. The record is from RNAcentral.
GACGAACGCUGGCGGCGUGCUUAACACAUGCAAGUCGAACGGUGAAGCGCCUUCCUUUUUGGUGGGUGUGGAUGAGUGGCGAACGGGUGAGUAACACGUGAGUAACCUGCCCCCUUCUUCUGGAUAACCGCAUGAAAGUGUGGCUAAUACGGGAUAUUCUGGGUCUGUCGCAUGAUGGGUCUGGGAAAGAUAUUGUUUCGGUGGGGGAUGGGCUCGCGGCCUAUCAGCUUGUUGGUGGGGUGAUGGCCUACCAAGGCGGUGACGGGUAGCCGGCCUGAGAGGGUGGCCGGUCACACUGGGACUGAGACACGGCCCAGACUCCUACGAGAGGCAGCAGUGGGGAAUAUUGCACAAUGGGCGCAAGCCUGAUGCAGCGACGCCGCGUGAGGGAUGGAGGCCUUCGGGUUGUGAACCUCUUUCGCCAGUGAAGCAGGCCUGCCUCGUUUGUGGGUGGGUUGACGGUAGCUGGAUAAGAAGCGCCGGCUAACUACGUG